UUCACUUUGCUCCAAUGAAAAGUUUUAACAUCUCUUGGCUAUGAUAUGGGAACUCUGUGCUACCAGCAAAAAACAUUGGUCUAUGCCGGAAACGGUAAUCCAGCCCUGAGACUAAAGGUGUGGCCUACACAGGUGCCAGCAGCCGCGGUCAUACCUGGACACCGUUUAAAACAUCUUCAAUGAAGGCUCAGUCAAAUACAUUCUUGCUGCCUAGUGAAAUAGCAGCGGGAAGAGUAACUACUAUUGACUAGUACCCGCCUAAACUCUCAUGGUAAACUAGGAUUAGAUACCCUACUAUAAGGAGCGAAAAGACUUAAUGAAGCACUAAGACUCCCAGGUUAAAACUUAAAGAGCAUGGCGGCGGGCCCGAUUCCUCAGGGGAAUUUACCCGAUAAUUGACAACCCACACGGUGCCCCUCACAGCCCUAUCGUUUGUAUGCCGCCGUCUUCAGGUAGCGCCCAAGGCUUUGCUGAGAAUCUUUCAGAAAAAAGACAGGUCAUGGUGCAGCUAAUGGCUGUGUGCGAGGUGAGUUACAAUAGAGCUUCACUUCCGCUGUGUGCCUUAAAAUGCUUACAAAAGUAGGACUUGAAAGUAAAAAGCACUCGCUAGUACCUUUUGAAUUGACUUUGGGCCCGUGCACAAAUCGCCCGUCACUCUCGCUGAAAAGUGAGAUAAGUCGUAACACAGUAGGGGUAGUGGAAGCUGCCCCU
This 711-nucleotide ribosomal RNA is filed under the name Ovatella vulcani. Its description in RNAcentral is "12S ribosomal RNA". Lineage: Eukaryota; Metazoa; Mollusca; Gastropoda; Ellobiida; Ellobiidae. The record is from RNAcentral.